RNAcentral lists this ribosomal RNA (642 nucleotides) under uncultured marine eukaryote. Its description in RNAcentral is "bacterial SSU rRNA". It matches the Rfam family "Eukaryotic small subunit ribosomal RNA", at positions 617 to 1266 of the family's 1831-position model. The record is from RNAcentral.
GGUUAAAAAGCUCGUAGUUGGAUUUCUGUGGUAGGCAGCCGGUCCGCACUAUGUGCGAGUAUCUGGUUCGGCUACUGCAUCCUCCUGAAGAACGUUGGUGCGCUUCACUGCGUGGCACGGUAUUCAGGACUUUUACUUUGAGGAAAUUAGAGUGUUCACGGCAGGCGCUUGCCCUGAAUAUAUUAGCAUGGAAUAAUAGCACAGGACCCCUUUCCAAAGCUGUUGGUUUUUGGAACGAGGUAAUCAGAAUAAGGAUAGUUGGGGGUAUUCGUAUUUAACUGUCAGAGGUGAAAUUCUUGGAUUUUUUAAAGACGAACUAUUGCGAAGGCAUCUGCCCAGGAUGUUUUUAUUGAUCAAGAACGAAAGUUAGGGGAUCGAAGACAAUCAGAUACCGUCCUAGUCUUAACCUUAAACUAUGCCGGCUGGAGAUUGGAGUUGUCAGAAUUGUGACAUCUUCAGCAUCCUGAGAGAAAUCGAAGUCUUUGGGUUCCGGGGGGAGUAUGGUCGCAAGGCUGAAACUUAAAGGAAUUGACGGAAGGGCACCACCAGGAGUGGAGCCUGCGGCUUAAUUUGACUCAACACGGGGAAACUCACCAGGUCCAGACAUAGAUAGGAUUGACAGACUGAUAGCUCUUUCUUAAU